AUACGUAGGGUGCAAGCGUUAAUCGGAAUUACUGGGCGUAAAGCGUGCGCAGGCGGUUUUGUAAGACAGAGGUGAAAUCCCCGGGCUCAACCUGGGAACUGCGCUUGUGACUGGUCAGCUAGAGUACGGCAGAGGGGGGUGGAAUUCCACGUGUAGCAGUGAAAUGCGUAGAGAUGUGGAGGAACACCGAUGGCGAAGGCAGCCCCCUGGGCCGAUACUGACGCUCAUGCACGAAAGCGUGGGUAGC
RNAcentral lists this ribosomal RNA (247 nucleotides) under uncultured bacterium. RNAcentral describes it as "partial 16S ribosomal RNA". It matches the Rfam family "Bacterial small subunit ribosomal RNA", at positions 523 to 769 of the family's 1533-position model. The record is from RNAcentral.